Molecule: ribosomal RNA, 253 nt
Filed under: uncultured bacterium
Lineage: Bacteria
Description: partial 16S ribosomal RNA
Rfam family: Bacterial small subunit ribosomal RNA
Source: RNAcentral
UACGUAGGGUGCAGGCGUUAAUCGGAAUUACUGGGCGUAAAGCGUGCGCAGGCGGUUUCUUAAGUCAGAUGUGAAAGCCCCGGGCUUAACCUGGGAACUGCGUUUGAAACUGGGAGACUUGAGUGUGGCAGAGGGGGGUGGAAUUCCACGUGUAGCAGUGAAAUGCGUAGAGAUGUGGAGGAACACCGAUGGCGAAGGCAGCCCCCUGGGCCAAUACUGACGCUCAUGCACGAAAGCGUGGGGAGCAAACAGG